CAAAGGCAGAUGGAACUGACCCUGCACACACCGCGUUUGACAGGAGAGCUGCAGGCUAGAGCAUUCCCUGAGGGGCUUCCUCAACUCCAGACAAACCUCACCCACACCUGCCCAGAGGCACAUUCACCCGCAGUUCUCCAAGAGAUCAGCUGUUGAACAGUCUUUAAUCAGGAAUGUUUUUGGAAGGAACAUAUGGAGAAUCAAAAGGGGGCUAAAUAUAAACCUGUAUUUACAGAACUGAAUAAGGAGCAGAGAGAAGCUGAACAGAAGGAGCUGGAUGGAGCAGCUCUCUCCUAGAACAGGUUUUUUUGGUGGGUGUGGGUGUGUGUUUUGCUGUAGGUGUGAAUUUCUAGAACCCUUGAGUUACCUAUAAUUUAAAAAAGAAAAAAAAAAACAGCUUAUGAGGCCAAAAAUAAUUUUGAUGCCAGUCACAUUAUGGAAGUACCUGAGGCUAUUUGCACUAACUUUCAUCAGAAGGAAACCCAUGUGUUUGCGUUUUAUAGACUUAGAAAACAGAGACUUAAAAUAGAAGUUUCAAAUUUAAGACUUUUUUAAGUAGUUAAGGCAAUUCUAGGGAAAAUGUUCUACAUCAUUAAUCCUGAAAGAAAAAAGAGGCAAACUUGGAAGUUAGGGCAAAACAAGCAUGAGAGAAAUUCCCAUGGUCUAAAAAAGGUGAAGAAAGACUAAACAUUUACUGAGCAAAAACCACAUGCAGAAGGAUUCUCUCAUUUAAUUUUCAUAAUAUUGUAAGCUAAGGGGAUGAUUAUUCUUUCUUAUUAAAAGAAAAAUCUCAGGAGCUCCCGUCGUGGCACAGUGGUUAACGAAUCCGACUAGGAACCAUGAGGUUGCAGGUUCAAUCCCUGGUGUUGCUCAGUGAGUUAAGUAUCCGGCGUUGCCGUGAGCUGUGGUGUAGGUCACAGACGUGGCUUGAAUCUGGUGUUGCUGUGGCUGUGGUGUAGGCUGGCUGCUACAGCUCUGAUUCAACCCCUAGCCUGGGAACCUCCAUAUGCC
Molecule: long non-coding RNA, 1011 nt
Filed under: Sus scrofa (pig)
Lineage: Eukaryota; Metazoa; Chordata; Mammalia; Artiodactyla; Suidae
Description: lncRNA (ENSSSCG00040037724.1)
Source: RNAcentral